Pseudopipra pipra is the source of this 1526-nucleotide long non-coding RNA. RefSeq lists it as uncharacterized. The transcript is spliced from 3 exons. The record is from RefSeq and is a predicted model, not a curated record. Lineage: Eukaryota; Metazoa; Chordata; Aves; Passeriformes; Pipridae.
UUGGAGGGUAUCAGUAUUAGGUUUCUUUUGAUGAAGUGAUUAAUUGUAUCAGAGGAAGGCACAGGCAAUGCUGAAGCAGAUAAGCAAGUGAAGGCCUGCAGUUGUACAGGUUACAGUAGAUUCACAGUAGGUGUGUAUAAAAACAGACACAGAGCCUAAUGGACAAAGCAAGACUAUGUAGAGUUAUUGCUAGGACAAAAAUAUACAGUAAAACCAGCAACAACAAAACCUAAAAGGACCUGGAGACCACGUGGAUUAUGACCAACUAGAUUUUCAGACAAGCUUCUGAUUUCUCUGUCUUUAAAUCAUUUGCAAACUGCUAUCUAUAAGCAGUUCUGUGUAGGUGUUGAAUGUUAAUGUGUUUUUAUAUAAUCCAAGUCCAAAACAAAAAUCAGCCAAAUAGCAACAAAAUAAACAUUCUUCAUAGUAGGCCUCUAAGACAGGAAAACUUAGGCUUGCAAGAACUGCUACCAAAAGCAGAGUCUAUGGCUCAGAACUCCCCUUGUCAGGGGGCAAGACCCUACAGUGGCGAGAAAUCCUGACAUCAGACCUAAGGAAGAGUAGCUCAUCAUGUCUGUAUCUUACCAGCUAGUCAAAAUACUAAGGCAGCCUUUUGUCCAAGGACAGUGCCUUUCUGGCACCAGCAUGGUCUGACUGUGCACCACUGCUGCUGCACAAAAUUUGAACCAUGACUGCAAGACCUUUGCCACACUCGGCACUGCUGAAUCUAGGAGAACAUAGCAGGAACAUACCAAAGAUGUCAAUGCCAGAUGCAAGUUGAGCUGUGGGGGCUUUAGCUAAACUCUUAGGCAAUGCUGGGCUUCUUUAACAACUAGCGAUCUAGGCAGAAGUGGGAAAUAAUGUAGAGGUGUAAGCAUAUAUGCAAAGACAGAGUAAAUGGUAUUACAUUUGUGGUGCAUUCUGCUUAUUCAAGACAAGACCUAAUAAAUGAGGAAUUAGAAGAAGCAAGGGGAAGAUUAAAACAUUAGAGAUAGGGAAGUCAUUCUUGCAAAAGUUAGCACACUUGCACCUGGGCAUUUGGCAAUGAUUUAUGGUUUAAUUGUAUUCAAACUUGUCAAACAAGUUUAUUAGAAAACAUAACAGUACCUCAUAUCUUAUAAUUAGACAUUUGCAGUCAGAGUGGGCUUUUAGGAAAGGAUUGAAAUCACACAGAAGACCAGACUUCCUCUUUCCAGAAGAACAUGGACACCACUGAAAAACUGUGCAUUUAAAAAGGACAAAGUGAAGAACACAUGAAAGUUUCUUUUGGUUAACAGGUCAAAUGGACAGUGAAGAUCGAUGUCACAACUGAGAUUCCCAACAGAAUGCUGUAGUGGGCGUGUGUGAAGAUGAAGAUCUGAAAGUUUCAGAAAUAUGAACAGAAGAAGAGAGCUGAAUGUUGAUGACGGUACAGCUGAAUUUACUCUAAAUAGUAUCAAGAGAAAAAUUACUGCCAGUUUUUCUUCCAAGUGUUCUGUCUUAUUCAGCAGAGUGAUGGCAAUAAUUUUAGGGUAUUAAACAAGAUG